RNAcentral lists this ribosomal RNA (435 nucleotides) under uncultured bacterium. RNAcentral's name for it is "partial 16S ribosomal RNA". It matches the Rfam family "Bacterial small subunit ribosomal RNA", at positions 28 to 507 of the family's 1533-position model. The record is from RNAcentral.
GAUGAACGCUGGCGGUAUGCUUAACACAUGCAAGUCGAACGGACUCUUCGGAGUUAGUGGCGGACGGGUGAGUAACGCGUGAGAAUCUGGCUUUGGGUUCGGGACAACCACUGGAAACGGUGGCUAAUACCGGAUGUGCCGAGAGGUAAAAGAGAAAUUGCCUGAAGAUGAGCUCGCGUCUGAUUAGCUAGUUGGUGAGGUAAAGGCUCACCAAGGCAGCGAUCAGUAGCUGGUCUGAGAGGAUGACCAGCCACACUGGGACUGAGACACGGCCCAGACUCCUACGGGAGGCAGCAGUGGGGAAUUGUCCGCAAUGGGCGAACGCCUGACGGAGCAAUACCGCGUGAGGGAAGAAGGCUCUUGGGGUGUAAACCUCUUUUCUUAGGGAAGAACAAAAUGACGGUACCUAAGGAAUCAGCAUCGGCUAACUCCGUG